This 401-nucleotide ribosomal RNA is filed under the name uncultured bacterium. Its description in RNAcentral is "bacterial SSU rRNA". It matches the Rfam family "Bacterial small subunit ribosomal RNA", at positions 27 to 432 of the family's 1533-position model. The record is from RNAcentral.
AGAAACGAACGCGUGGCGGCGACGGACCUAACACAUGACAAGUACGAACGAGAUUCGUUCGGAUCUAGGUGGGCGGGACGGGUGAAGUAACGCGGUAGGGAACGUCGUCCCUUCUCGUAACGGAAUACGUCCCGGGAAAACUGGGGUUUUAAAUACCGUAUACGCCCUUCGGGGAAAGAAUUUCGGGGAAGGAUCGGCCCGCGUUGGAUUAGGUAGUUGGUGGGGUAAUGGCCUACCAAGCCGACGAUCCAUAGCUGGUUUGAGAGGAUGAUCAGCCACACUGGGACUGAGACACGGCCCAGACUCCUACGGGAGGCAGCAGUGGGGAAUCUUAGACAAUGGGGGCAACCCUGAUCUAGCCAUGCCGCGUGAGUGACGAAGGCCCUAGGGUCGUAAAAGCU